Molecule: ribosomal RNA, 492 nt
Filed under: uncultured bacterium
Lineage: Bacteria
Description: partial 16S ribosomal RNA
Rfam family: Bacterial small subunit ribosomal RNA
Source: RNAcentral
GAUGAACGCUAGCUACAGGCUUAACACAUGCAAGUCGAGGGGAAACGACAUCGAAAGCUUGCUUUUGAUGGGCGUCGACCGGCGCACGGGUGAGUAACGCGUAUCCAACCUGCCCAUCACUUGGGAAUAACCUUGCGAAAGUAAGACUAAUACCUAAUGAUAUCCCACGAAGGCAUCGGAAUGGGAUUAAAGAUUUAUCGGUGAUGGAUGGGGAUGCGUUUGAUUAGCUUGUUGGUGAGGUAACGGCCAACCAAGGCAACGAUGCGGAGGGGAUCUGAGAGGAAGGCACCCCGGAUUGGAGCCACGGCCCAGACUAAACUCCGACGCAGGGCAGCGGUAUGUAAUAUUAGUGAAUGAAGGAUGACCUAGCCCAGCCACGUGGCUGACGGAGGGACGCGCCUAGGGAAUGUAAACUGCUUUGAUAGAAGAAUAGAGUGGGUAACGUGUGACUUUUUGACGGUACCUUAUGAAUAAGCACCGGCUAAUUCCGUG